ACAGGGAUUGCCUUAGUAACGGCGAGUGAAGCGGCAACAGCUCAAAUUUGAAAUCUGGCCCUCGGGUCCGAAUUGUAAUUUGUAGAGGAUGAUUUGGGUGCGGUAUCUUCCGAGUUCCUUGGAACAGGACGCCUUAGAGGGUGAGAGCCCCGUACGGUUGAAUGCCUAGCCUCUGUAAAUCUCCUUCGACGAGUCGAGUAGUUUGGGAAUGCUGCUCUAAAUGGGAGGUAAAUUUCUUCUAAAGCUAAAUAUUGGCCAGAGACCGAUAGCGCACAAGUAGAGUGAUCGAAAGAUGAAAAGCACUUUGAAAAGAGGGUUAAAUAGCACGUGAAAUUGUUGAAAGGGAAGGAUUUGUGACCAGACUUUUUCUGGGCGGAUCAUCCGGGGUUCUCUCCGGUGCACUUUGCCCAGUAAAGGCCAGCAUCGAUUUUCGGCGGCGGAUAAAAGCAGUGGGAAUGUGGCUCCCCACGGGGAGUGUUAUAGCCCAUUGUAUAAUACGCUGCUGGGGAUCGAGGUACGCGCUUCUGCAAGGAUGCUGGCGUAAUGGUUAUCAAUCACCCGUCUUGAAACACGGACCAAGGAGUCGAACAUUUAUGCGAGUGUUUGGGUGUUAAACCCUCACGCGUAAUGAAAGUGAACGGAGGUGAGAGCCCGUACGGGUGCAUCAUCGACCGAUCCUGAAGUUUUCGGAUGGAUUUGAGUAAGAGCAUAACUGUUCGGACCCGAAAGAUGGUGAACUAUGCGUGGAUAGGGUGAAGCCAGAGGAAACUCUGGUGGAGGCUCGCAGCGGUUCUGACGUGCAAAUCGAUCGUCAAAUCUGCGCAUGGGGGCGAAAGACUAAUCGAACCAUCUAGUAGCUGGUUAC
This 865-nucleotide ribosomal RNA is filed under the name Pestalotiopsis sp. CBS 543.95. RNAcentral describes it as "LSU rRNA". It matches the Rfam family "Eukaryotic large subunit ribosomal RNA", at positions 68 to 958 of the family's 3401-position model. Lineage: Eukaryota; Fungi; Ascomycota; Sordariomycetes; Amphisphaeriales; Sporocadaceae. The record is from RNAcentral.